GUGGUGAACGUCCGACAUACCGCUCCUGUCACACCACGUACUCCCGCAGGAUGCUGGCUAUAUCUUUGGGCUCCAGAGCCUGAUAGACAUUGUCACAGAGAUAAGUGAGGAGAGUGGAGAGUGAACUUGCUGGUUGUUCCAGUACUUGAGAGAGACUCUGUGUCCCAGACACAGCUGUGCUGCGUCAGGGAGGAGGCCAGUAUGGCCAGGUAGGGGUCCCUGCAGCCUGGAGCUGAUGUGCAGUGGCCUCUCUGAGCCCCAACCCGAGCCCGCUCCAGCUGCACUCGGGAGUCUUUAUUUAUUUUAACUAUUUCUUCAACAUUCCACAUUUGAUGAUGCAGAUACCUCUUUGUUCCCUGAGUGUAAACGUUCUAAUACAGAUCUUUUUGUUUAUUGUAUCCA
RNAcentral lists this long non-coding RNA (402 nucleotides) under Marmota monax (woodchuck). Lineage: Eukaryota; Metazoa; Chordata; Mammalia; Rodentia; Sciuridae. The record is from RNAcentral.